RNAcentral lists this ribosomal RNA (907 nucleotides) under uncultured bacterium. Its description in RNAcentral is "bacterial SSU rRNA". It matches the Rfam family "Bacterial small subunit ribosomal RNA", at positions 1 to 908 of the family's 1533-position model. The record is from RNAcentral.
AAGAGUUUGAUCCUGGCUCAGAUUGAACGCUGGCGGCAGGCCUAACACAUGCAAGUCGAGCGGAUGAAGGGAGCUUGCUCCUGGAUUCAGCGGCGGACGGGUGAGUAAUGCCUAGGAAUCUGCCUGGUAGUGGGGGAUAACGUCCGGAAACGGGCGCUAAUACCGCAUACGUCCUGAGGGAGAAAGUGGGGGAUCUUCGGACCUCACGCUAUCAGAUGAGCCUAGGUCGGAUUAGCUAGUUGGUGGGGUAAAGGCCUACCAAGGCGACGAUCCGUAACUGGUCUGAGAGGAUGAUCAGUCACACUGGAACUGAGACACGGUCCAGACUCCUACGGGAGGCAGCAGUGGGGAAUAUUGGACAAUGGGCGAAAGCCUGAUCCAGCCAUGCCGCGUGUGUGAAGAAGGUCUUCGGAUUGUAAAGCACUUUAAGUUGGGAGGAAGGGCAGUAAGUUAAUACCUUGCUGUUUUGACGUUACCAACAGAAUAAGCACCGGCUAACUUCGUGCCAGCAGCCGCGGUAAUACGAAGGGUGCAAGCGUUAAUCGGAAUUACUGGGCGUAAAGCGCGCGUAGGUGGUUCAGCAAGUUGGAUGUGAAAUCCCCGGGCUCAACCUGGGAACUGCAUCCAAAACUACUGAGCUAGAGUACGGUAGAGGGUGGUGGAAUUUCCUGUGUAGCGGUGAAAUGCGUAGAUAUAGGAAGGAACACCAGUGGCGAAGGCGACCACCUGGACUGAUACUGACACUGAGGUGCGAAAGCGUGGGGAGCAAACAGGAUUAGAUACCCUGGUAGUCCACGCCGUAAACGAUGUCGACUAGCCGUUGGGAUCCUUGAGAUCUUAGUGGCGCAGCUAACGCGAUAAGUCGACCGCCUGGGGGAGUACGGCCGCAAGGUUUAAACUCAAAGGA